This 775-nucleotide ribosomal RNA is filed under the name uncultured Neocallimastigales. RNAcentral describes it as "partial large subunit ribosomal RNA". It matches the Rfam family "Eukaryotic large subunit ribosomal RNA", at positions 24 to 647 of the family's 3401-position model. The record is from RNAcentral. Lineage: Eukaryota; Fungi; Neocallimastigomycota; Neocallimastigomycetes; Neocallimastigales.
UAUCUCUGUAGAGUCUGCAUAUCAAUAAGCGGAGGAAAAGAAACUAACUAGGAUUCCCUUAGUAACGGCGAGUGAAGCGGGAAGAGCUCAAAUUUGAAAUCUUCAAGGUUUUACCUUGACGAAUUGUAGUUUAAAGAAGUGUUUUCUGUUGGUGUUUUGGUAAAAGUUCUUUGGAAUAGGACAUCAUAGAGGGUGAGAAUCCCGUAUUUGACCAUUACUUUCCAGCUUUGUGAUACACUUUCAAAGAGUCGGAUUGUUUGGGAAUGCAGUCCAAAAUGGGUGGUAAAUUUCAUCUAAAGCUAAAUAUUGGCGAGAGACCGAUAGCGAACAAGUACCGUGAGGGAAAGAUGAAAAGAACUUUGAAAAGAGAGUUAAACAGUACGUGAAAUUGUCAAAAGGGAAGCGUUUGACACCAGUGUUGUUUUUCCAAAAAUCAAUUACGAAUGGCUUGAUUUUGUGUUGUAUUGACCUUAUCAGCUUUCUGCACUUUUUUUGAGUCUUUCCUAAUGCACUUUUUGGUUAACAAGUCAACAUCAAUUUCUUUUGUUGUAAAAGAGUAUUCGGAAGGUGGCUUUCUUUUCGGAGAAAGUGUUUAUAGCCCUAUACUUCUACAAUCGGAGAGAUUGAGGUCUGCAGCGUAGAUCCUUCGGGGUUAGAUACACUUGUGCUAAGUUGUAGCUUUUCAUAGACGACUUGUUGACUAUGUUUAGUCAUGCGGCUUACUCGCUUAUGCUAUUUUACCUACGCUUAGGAUGUUGACGAGACUGUCGAUCUC